Molecule: non-coding RNA, 565 nt
Organism: Struthio camelus australis
Lineage: Eukaryota; Metazoa; Chordata; Aves; Struthioniformes; Struthionidae
Source: RefSeq, a predicted model, not a curated record
CCCGUCUGCUCGAUUUCCCGCCUGCCGCUGAGCUGGUCCCCAGCGUCUCGGCUCCCCGCGGCAGGCUUUCCUCGCUGUUUGUUUUCAGCUCCAGAUCGUCACUCGGAGGGACCGAGCUGUAGCUGUUACAGUCUGUUUGCUCAAAGUCUGCAGCAUCUUAACUGAGCCUAGCGACAGAUCAGCUGGGAACCACUCUCACUAGCGGUUCCUCCGAGGCAAAGAGGAGGAAGAAACCCCACUCCGUAAAUGCCAGGAAGAAAAUGCAGAAUACAGGCGACGGAGAAGAGAAAGCCUCUGACAACCUACGGCCAAGCAUCAGCCAUCAGUUUUCGGCUUGCGUAACUCCCCAAGCCGGCUCCUGGCAGGCCGGGUGAGUCAGGGGCAGCGCAGGCCCCAGCUCCCUGCUUUGCAUCCCUGGGAACAGCCACCGAAACCCCCUUCAAUCAAGUCUUACAAAGUCAGAGCCCCCAUAACUAAUUUACAUGGUCCCAUGGAGGUUGCUGAGUGUUCCUGUGGCAGCAGAAAAUGAAUAAUUCGGAAUAAAGGUACUUUGGAAGAGCCCCUA